This 163-nucleotide ribosomal RNA is filed under the name Chaerophyllum heldreichii. RNAcentral describes it as "5.8S ribosomal RNA". It matches the Rfam family "5.8S ribosomal RNA". Rfam says of the family: 5.8S ribosomal RNA (5.8S rRNA) is a component of the large subunit of the eukaryotic ribosome. It is transcribed by RNA polymerase I as part of the 45S precursor that also contains 18S and 28S rRNA. The record is from RNAcentral. Lineage: Eukaryota; Viridiplantae; Streptophyta; Magnoliopsida; Apiales; Apiaceae.
AAAUGACUCUCGGCAACGGAUAUCCCGGCUCUCGCAUCGAUGAAGAACGUAGCGAAAUGCGAUACUUGGUGUGAAUUGCAGAAUCCCGUGAACCAUUGAGUCUUUGAACGCAAGUUGCGCCCGAAGCCACUAGGCCGAGGGCACGUCUGCCUGGGUGUCACGC